GGAGAGAUGGUUGAGUUGGUCGAAGGCGCUCGCCUGGAAAGCGGGUAGGCGGGAAACCGCCUCGAGGGUUCGAAUCCCUCUCUCUCCGCCA
Molecule: transfer RNA, 91 nt
Filed under: Tissierellia bacterium
Lineage: Bacteria; Bacillati; Bacillota; Tissierellia
Description: tRNA-Ser
Rfam family: tRNA
About the family: Transfer RNA (tRNA) molecules are approximately 80 nucleotides in length. Their secondary structure includes four short double-helical elements and three loops (D, anti-codon, and T loops).
Source: RNAcentral